This is a long non-coding RNA of Pogoniulus pusillus (Red-fronted tinkerbird), 472 nucleotides long. RefSeq lists it as uncharacterized. NCBI's taxonomy places the organism in Eukaryota, Metazoa, Chordata, Aves, Piciformes, Lybiidae. The record is from RefSeq and is a predicted model, not a curated record. The transcript is spliced from 2 exons.
AGGCUUUGCCUUGCUUAUAUCAUCAGACCAUUGCAGCUGCAUCAUCCACAGUAUGGGAAUACCUUAUGAUUCACUGAGCGACAGUAAGAGUGUGCCAGGAGGAUCUGCAGGAGCCAGCUGACGCUGCCUCUCAGCUCUGUAGCUGUAUCCGCUCUGCGUGCGUGCCAGGCUCCCAGCUCUGCCUGCGUCCUGCCGAGUUCCUGCCGCCUCGCUUGGGUGUUUAUCCAGGCACCGCAGCUCUUGCUCCAUGGCCGUGCUCCUGUCUCACUCAACAUCUGACUGCGUGUUGUCUUUCCUUCCUGAGCUGUGGCUCCAAGGAUCUUUACAAUGACAGGAUUAGCUAUUUUAAGGGGCAGCAGGUGACAGACGAGGUCAAGGAGUUUUAGCUGGCAUAUUCCUAGGGCCUGGAGAACCACCUCCACUAACUAACCAGCUGAAAUACUUUCAUGGAUUGGAGUGUAAUGUCAGGACU